UAUUAGGUUGGUGCAAAAGUAAUUGCAGUUUUUGCCAUUACUUUCAAUAGCAAAUACUGCAAUUAUUUUUGCACUAACUUAAUAU
This 85-nucleotide microRNA precursor is filed under the name Macaca nemestrina (pig-tailed macaque). RNAcentral describes it as "miRNA (ENSMNEG00000009461.1)". Lineage: Eukaryota; Metazoa; Chordata; Mammalia; Primates; Cercopithecidae. The record is from RNAcentral.